This 125-nucleotide small RNA is filed under the name Marmota monax (woodchuck). The record is from RNAcentral. Lineage: Eukaryota; Metazoa; Chordata; Mammalia; Rodentia; Sciuridae.
GCUGGGUGUGGUGGCACACGUCUGUAAUCCCAGUGGCUCAGGAGGCUGAGUCAGGAGGAUUGCAAGUUCAAAUCCAGCUUCAUUAAUGGCAAGGUGCCAAGCAACUCAGUGAGACCCUGUCUCUA